This 253-nucleotide ribosomal RNA is filed under the name uncultured bacterium. Its description in RNAcentral is "partial 16S ribosomal RNA". It matches the Rfam family "Bacterial small subunit ribosomal RNA", at positions 524 to 776 of the family's 1533-position model. The record is from RNAcentral.
UACGUAGGGGGCUAGCGUUGUCCGGAAUCAUUGGGCGUAAAGAGCGUGUAGGCGGUCCGGUAAGUCCGCUGUGAAAGUCGGGGGCUCAACCCUCGAAUGCCGGUGGAUACUGUCGGGCUAGAGUGCGGAAGAGGCGAGUGGAAUUCCUGGUGUAGCGGUGAAAUGCGCAGAUAUCAGGAGGAACACCAAUAGCGAAGGCAGCUUGCUGGGACGGUACUGACGCUAAGGCGCGAAAGCGUGGGGAGCGAACAGG